UACAGAGACUGCAAGCGUUAUUCGGAUUCACUGGGCGUAAAGGGCGCGUAGGUGGCGAUCCAAGUCCAUGGUGAAAGCUCGAUGCUCAACAUCGAGUCGGCCACGGAUACUGGGUUGCUUGAGCACUGUAGGGGCAGAUGGAAUUCCGGGUGUAGCGGUGGAAUGCGUAGAGAUCCGGAAGAACACCGGUGGCGAAGGCGGUCUGCUGGGCAGUUGCUGACACUGAGGCGCGACAGCGUAGGGAGCAAACAGG
This 253-nucleotide ribosomal RNA is filed under the name uncultured bacterium. Its description in RNAcentral is "partial 16S ribosomal RNA". It matches the Rfam family "Bacterial small subunit ribosomal RNA", at positions 524 to 776 of the family's 1533-position model. The record is from RNAcentral.